CACGGCAGCAAAUCACACAGCGCUGACACAUUUAGUGCUUGUCUUCCCUAGUUCACAUAAGGGGAAGAGCUUUGCAUCCCCAUUUCUGAGAGAAUGAGGUGCAGCAUGCACUGCGUCUAAGGAAGAGGUUGGGUUUGCCAAGAGCACCAGAUGAGACAUUGAUGAAAUCCUGGGAGCGCCUGUGUACUUCUGGUGGUGUGGAUUGUAAAUCACAUCAACAUCGGAACUGUUUGAUGAUUGCUAGUCUGGGGAGGGGCAGGAAGAAAUGAAUAGAAGGUUGGUACAAACCAGUGAUAUUAAUGAUUGCAAUGAAAAGGAGAAAAAAAAAUCUG
Molecule: long non-coding RNA, 332 nt
Filed under: Numida meleagris (helmeted guineafowl)
Lineage: Eukaryota; Metazoa; Chordata; Aves; Galliformes; Numididae
Description: lncRNA (ENSNMEG00000014817.1)
Source: RNAcentral